AAAUUUUUUAACCAGCUUCUGAUUACAUAGGUAACCAGUUCAAUUCAUAGACAAAA
This 56-nucleotide unclassified non-coding RNA is filed under the name Komagataella phaffii CBS 7435. Lineage: Eukaryota; Fungi; Ascomycota; Pichiomycetes; Pichiales; Pichiaceae. The record is from RNAcentral.